This 497-nucleotide ribosomal RNA is filed under the name uncultured bacterium. RNAcentral describes it as "partial 16S ribosomal RNA". It matches the Rfam family "Bacterial small subunit ribosomal RNA", at positions 28 to 507 of the family's 1533-position model. The record is from RNAcentral.
GAUGAACGCUGGCGGCGUGCCUAAUACAUGCAAGUCGAGCGAACAGACGAGGAGCUUGCUCCUCUGACGUUAGCGGCGGACGGGUGAGUAACACGUGGAUAACCUACCUAUAAGACUGGGAUAACUUCGGGAAACCGGAGCUAAUACCGGAUAACAUGUUGAACCGCAUGGUUCAACAGUGAAAGACGGUCUUGCUGUCACUUAUAGAUGGAUCCGCGCCGCAUUAGCUAGUUGGUAAGGUAACGGCUUACCAAGGCAACGAUGCGUAGCCGACCUGUGAGGGGGAUAGGCCACACUGGAACUGAGACACGGUCCAGACUCCUACGGGAGGCAGCAGUAGGGAAUCUUCCGCAAUGGGCGAAAGCCUGACGGAGCAACGCCGCGUGAGUGAAGAAGGUCUUCGGAUCGUAAAACUCUGUUAUUAGGGAAGAACAAAUGUGUAAGUAACUAUGCACGUCUUGACGGUACCUAAUCAGAAAGCCACGGCUAACUACGUG